Molecule: unclassified non-coding RNA, 347 nt
Filed under: Hevea brasiliensis (rubber tree)
Lineage: Eukaryota; Viridiplantae; Streptophyta; Magnoliopsida; Malpighiales; Euphorbiaceae
Source: RNAcentral
CAAGCUUGCCGGCAUUCAUUACAGGGACAUACUAAGGCAAUCCACUCCGUGUGCUGGGAUCCUUCUGGUGAGUAUCUAGCAUCUGUCAGUGAGGACUCCGUCAGAGUCUGGAGACUUGGAUCAGGGAGUGAGGGGGACUGUGUUCAUGAAUUGAGCUGUAACGGCAACAAAUUCCAUUCCUGUGUUUUCCAUCCUACAUACCCUUCAUUACUAGUCAUUGGUUGUUACCAGUCCUUGGAGCUAUGGAACAUGACUGAGAACAAGAGUAUGACUCUGGCAGCUCAUGAAGGACUAAUUGCUGCUCUUGCUGUAUCACCUGUGACAGGGUUGGUUGCAUCUGCUAGUCA